ACACAUGCAAGUCGAACGAGCGAGAGAGAGCUUGCUUUCUCGAGCGAGUGGCGAACGGGUGAGUAACGCGUGAGGAACCUGCCUCAAAGAGGGGGACAACAGUUGGAAACGACUGCUAAUACCGCAUAAGCCCACGGUGCCGCAUGGCACAGAGGGAAAAGGAGCAAUCCGCUUUGAGAUGGCCUCGCGUCCGAUUAGCUAGUUGGUGAGGUAAUGGCCCACCAAGGCGACGAUCGGUAGCCGGACUGAGAGGUUGAACGGCCACAUUGGGACUGAGACACGGCCCAGACUCCUACGGGAGGCAGCAGUGGGGAAUAUUGCACAAUGGGGGAAACCCUGAUGCAGCGACGCCGCGUGGAGGAAGAAGGUCUUCGGAUUGUAAACUCCUGUUGUUGGGGAAGAUAAUGACGGUACCCAACAAGGAAGUGACGGCUAACUACGUGCCAGCAGCCGCGGUAAAACGUAGGUCACAAGCGUUGUCCGGAAUUACUGGGUGUAAAGGGAGCGCAGGCGGGAAGACAAGUUGGAAGUGAAAUCUAUGGGCUCAACCCAUAAACUGCUUUCAAAACUGUUUUUCUUGAGUAGUGCAGAGGUAGGCGGAAUUCCCGGUGUAGCGGUGGAAUGCGUAGAUAUCGGGAGGAACACCAGUGGCGAAGGCGGCCUACUGGGCACCAACUGACGCUGAGGCUCGAAAGUGUGGGUAGCAAACAGGAUUAGAUACCCUGGUAGUCCACACCGUAAACGAUGAUUACUAGGUGUUGGAGGAUUGACCCCUUCAGAAAGGCAGUUAACACAAUAAGUAAUCCACCUGGGGAGUCC
Molecule: ribosomal RNA, 819 nt
Filed under: uncultured bacterium
Lineage: Bacteria
Description: bacterial SSU rRNA
Rfam family: Bacterial small subunit ribosomal RNA
Source: RNAcentral